Molecule: non-coding RNA, 70 nt
Organism: Dipodomys ordii (Ord's kangaroo rat)
Lineage: Eukaryota; Metazoa; Chordata; Mammalia; Rodentia; Heteromyidae
Source: Rfam
GGGAAUGUGGCUUAGUGGUAGAGUGCUUGCCUAGCAUGCAUGAAGCCUCAGGUUCGAUUCCUCAGUACCA